Molecule: ribosomal RNA, 310 nt
Filed under: Priestia flexa
Lineage: Bacteria; Bacillati; Bacillota; Bacilli; Caryophanales; Bacillaceae
Description: bacterial SSU rRNA
Rfam family: Bacterial small subunit ribosomal RNA
Source: RNAcentral
CGCGCCAGUCGAGCGACUGAUUAGAAGCUUGCUUCUAUGACGUUAGCGGCGGACGGGUGAGUUAACACGUGGGGCAACCUGCCUGUAAGACUGGGAUAACUCCGGGAAACCGGAGCUAAUACCGGAUAACAUUUUCUCUUGCAUAAGAGAAAAUUGAAAGAUGGUUUCGGCUAUCACUUACAGAUGGGCCCGCGGUGCAUUAGCUAGUUGGUGAGGUAACGGCUCACCAAGGCAACCGAUGCAUAGCCGACCUGAGAGGGUGAUCGGCCACACUGGGACUGAGACACGGCCCAGACUCCUACGGGAGGGA